RNAcentral lists this long non-coding RNA (695 nucleotides) under Cucumis sativus (cucumber). RNAcentral describes it as "long non-coding RNA (CSAT_LNC003145)". The record is from RNAcentral. Lineage: Eukaryota; Viridiplantae; Streptophyta; Magnoliopsida; Cucurbitales; Cucurbitaceae.
UGAUGUAAAAUUCUGAAUGUUGAUGAUUAUACGUGCUGAAAUUUGAGAAUAAGUUGCCGUCUUUUUUGGUUUACGUCCCUUUUUAGCGGUAUCUUAUUGAGAUGUUAGCGAUAUCUUGUUGAGAUGUGAAUGCUUGAUUGAGAAAAUGGUAUGUGUGUUGUGAAUGCUUGAUUGCAUGUAUAUAAUAAAUAAGUGCAUGGAUACUUUUCUAGCUUUGUCUUCCUUUGUUGCUUUGCCGUGACUUACCUAUGAUGCGCUUAGUCCAAACCUAGCCUAGAUAGAGUUAAAAAAGGAUAGGAGGUACUCUUUUAGAAAUUGAGAUGGUUUUAAUAAAUAACAUGAGUUAGGAGCCGUUUGUCUAGCCACAAUGAACUAAAUCCCUUUAGAAAAGGGUGGACAUUAACAAAACUUGUUGCCACUUCGAAGGGAGUAGUCAAACUUAGAAACUAAGUGUAGAACCAUAGAAAGGUUAGCCCACCGGUUCUAGCAAGACCUAGUUACCACAUUGCAUAUCAAAGAAAGAAUAGAGAGACUUGCAAACGUAAACAGUGAAACAAUUAAGAGCUAAAAAAAACAAACAACAUAUGCAAUAUACAUAAAAAAAAUCCCAUAAAAAAUGAGGGGAAACUUCACUUAUGGCCUAACCAAAACCAAACCACCUACUCUUAGCGUUCUAGACAUAGCAUCGAGUUUGA